Molecule: long non-coding RNA, 920 nt
Filed under: Sus scrofa (pig)
Lineage: Eukaryota; Metazoa; Chordata; Mammalia; Artiodactyla; Suidae
Description: lncRNA (ENSSSCG00030074108.1)
Source: RNAcentral
GAGGACAGCCGUCUGCCGGGCCAGGUGAGUCCCCUUCCCUCCCCAGGCCUUGUUUCUCUGGCCUCCUGCAUCCGGAGGUUCUGGGGAGCGAGGGCCGGCGAGGCGAAGCGGCUGACCCCCCGGCAGAGUGGCGGCGGACGACAGGCAAGGCGGGCAGAACAGGUGACACGUCUCAGGGGGAGCUGGGACCGGGCGGGGCUGGGGGGCCGGGGCCGUCCCAGGUGGAAAGAGCAUCUCAAGCGAAUGGUGCUACCCAGCUCAUGCCUGGGCCUUGGACCCGGACUUCUUCAAGUCCUCCUAGCUCUGACUCAAGAAUAUGCUGCAUUCUGGAGCCACUACACUACUUGACUCAGGAAUCAGCUCUGGAAGGUUGAGCCAAAGGAACAGACGUCCCACACCACCGGACCAACGGCACCCGCGGGGUUCCCCACCCCCCGCCCGGCCACUCCACCUCGGCGGCCACCCCCUGCUGCGCCCUGGAGACACCACCAGCCUCCCUCUCUCCCCUUCCUCCUUUUUUUCCUCUGUCUUUUCUCUUCUCUUCUUUCCUCUCCUUUGCUCAGAAGACUCGGGGCAUCCAGGACUCUGUGUCCCCGUCCUUCCUGAAUUAAUUUGCACUAAGUCGUUUGCACUGGUUUGGAGUCCUGGAACCAGCCCCGGGUCUCGGAGCGGGUGUGUGAGCUGCCGAGUGGCCUGGCCUCCUCGGCCCGCGCCCCCUCAGCACCUGCCAUUGUCCAUCUCUGUCUGGGGGUGACUGGGUGGGGGCCUGAGUGUGUGGGGCCCCGCCCUCCCCUCUCCUAGUCUGGAAGCUCCGACCACCGAGCAGACCUCAAACGCUGCACUGAGUGUCCAUCUCGUCAUGUGCCCCUCCUCGCCAGGGCCACCCCAGAGCCCUGGACUCAUCAAUAAACUCAGUUACC